CUUGUUUUACUUUGUUAGUUUUGAUAAUGAUUCAAACACAGCGGAAUUAAGAUUUGUUUGAUCCCCCUUUUUAAAUAGCGAGUUAAUGAGAGUGAAGCAGAUAUAAUCAGUUAUAGCAGUUAUGCAAUAGACACGGCAGGUUUUAAGUGGUUCAGGGCACUUAAAGCUCCUAAUCCACUCUUCUACUCCUCGAGUAGGAAAUCCACUAAGGAUGUUUUUUACACUUUCUGAAUCUCACAGAUUCCUUCUAGACCAGCAGUCUAGGAACUUCUUAGUUCACUUUUGAACUUUUGAAGUCCAGCAGACUUGGCUCUUCUUAGUUCACUUUAGAACUUUACAAGUCCUUCUGACUUGGAACUUCUUUCUUCUUGAUUUGUAGUUGAUGAGUUCUUGUAAUGCUACUCAGUUGCCGUUAAGCUCUUGUUCAAAAGAAAUGAGUAGCUGAGCAAGCUUUCUUUUCUUCUUAGAUCGUAUAAUUGAG
This 481-nucleotide long non-coding RNA is filed under the name Panax ginseng (ginseng). RNAcentral's name for it is "long non-coding RNA (PGIN_LNC002244)". Lineage: Eukaryota; Viridiplantae; Streptophyta; Magnoliopsida; Apiales; Araliaceae. The record is from RNAcentral.